This is a long non-coding RNA of Xyrauchen texanus (razorback sucker), 566 nucleotides long. RefSeq lists it as uncharacterized. The transcript has 2 exons. Lineage: Eukaryota; Metazoa; Chordata; Actinopteri; Cypriniformes; Catostomidae. The record is from RefSeq and is a predicted model, not a curated record.
CUUUUAUAACAAAAUAAACCCUUUUAUCCCCCUUCUUUCACACUUUUGGUUGUCACCAUGCUUUUCAAUGAAAGCAAGCCAUAAAACACCAGGAAACUCGUGACACCAUAUUGUUUUACUGAACAGAAAUACACAAGACACCAUCAGGCCUGAUCAGGGGUGUGUGCGUAUUCUGAAAAAACCUCCCUACCCCAGACCUCUGACUUCCUGUAAGAGCUCAGUAUCGAUUGAAAGACUUUGGGUGGAAAAAUCUCCGCGGAGAUCAGAGCUCAGUGGAUUACCAUCACACCUCUCUCACAUACCGGGAGACGAAUCCUGGCCGCCUGGGUGAAAACCAGGAAUCCUAACCUCUAGACCAUAUGGAAGUCUGAGAGGUGUUUAAAAACACAUUUUCUCCUCUGUUAAAAAGUUAAAUCCUUAUUUUAAAGCGACCAUCUGAAUGUUUUUUGUCUUAUCCAAUAUCCACUGUUUUAGAAAAACAAAUUUUCACCCUUUUGUUAAUAAAAAACUUGUACCAUGUUUGACACCAAGCAUUACACACUCAUUAAAGAUGUCAUUUAAACACA